GACGAACGCUGGCGGCGUGCUUAACACAUGCAAGUCGAACGGAAAGGCCCUGCUUUUGUUGGUUUCUCGUUUGGCGAACGGGUGAGUAACACGUGAGUAACCUGCCCUUGACUUUGGGAUAACUUCAGGAAACUGGGGCUCUUACCGGAUAUGAUCUCCUGCUCCAUGUUGUUGGUUGGAAAGUUUCGGCGGUUGUGGAUGUACUCGCGGCUUAUCAGCUUCUUUGUGUGGUAGUGGCUUACCAAGGCUUUGACGGGUAGCCUGCCUGAGAGGGUUACCGGCCACAAUGGGACUGAGAGACGGCCCAGACGCCUACGGGAGGCAGUAGUGGGGAAUAUUGCACAAUGGGCGGAAGUCUGAUGCAGAAACGCCGCGUGCGGGAUGACGGGCUUCGGGGUGUAAACAGAUGUCGCAGGUGACGAAGAGUGAGUGACGGUAAUGGGUAAAGAAGCAACGGCUAACUACGUG
This 468-nucleotide ribosomal RNA is filed under the name uncultured bacterium. RNAcentral's name for it is "partial 16S ribosomal RNA". It matches the Rfam family "Bacterial small subunit ribosomal RNA", at positions 28 to 507 of the family's 1533-position model. The record is from RNAcentral.